This 253-nucleotide ribosomal RNA is filed under the name uncultured bacterium. RNAcentral describes it as "partial 16S ribosomal RNA". It matches the Rfam family "Bacterial small subunit ribosomal RNA", at positions 524 to 776 of the family's 1533-position model. The record is from RNAcentral.
UACGUAGGGACCGAGCGUUGUCCGGAUUCAUUGGGCGUAAAGAGCUCGUAGGCGGCUGCUCAAGUCGAAUGUGAAAACUCGAGGCUCAACCUCGAGCCUGCAUUCGAUACUGGGCGGCUAGAGUCUGGUAGGGGGAUCUGGAAUUCCUGGUGUAGCGGUGGAAUGCGCAGAUAUCAGGAGGAACACCGGUGGCGAAGGCGGAUCUCUGGGCCGUGCCUGACGCUCAGGUGCGAAAGCUAGGGGAGCGAACAGG